This 1599-nucleotide non-coding RNA is filed under the name Pongo abelii (Sumatran orangutan). Lineage: Eukaryota; Metazoa; Chordata; Mammalia; Primates; Hominidae. The record is from RNAcentral.
GCGUCAUACAUCUGCAUCCGGAAGGAAAGGCGAGGCUCUGCAUCUAGAUUUACUUCGUUCUCUUUCGUCUCCGCUUUUUUCCCCACAUUUCCUUGCGCCCCUGGCCCUUGGGCGACAAAAAGGGGAAGCCAGGGCUGGCCUGAGGAACGGAGAGGGCACAUGGCCUAACCACGAGUGGAGCUUCUGCUCCGCCCGAAGGGAUGCGCUGGAGCGGCCUCUUCCUUCCGUCACGGUCUUUCUUUGCCAACUAGUAGGUGGAGACUGGACCUCAGAGAGGGAGUGGGUGCCCUGAGAACUCACAGCUGGCGGACAGCGGAAAGGGCAGAACCCGGACCAAGGUGAGGACAGCGGAACUGAAGUUCUGCUGGUUACCUCUCCUGCCCUCCGCUGGCCGCACUGGAGAAGACAGCCCCUCCCUCCUGCUCUGACCUGACAGUGUUCAUCCAUCGCCCUCUAUUAGGGAAGAACAACAUCAAGCUGGCUAGCAAGGAACUGUAUACAGGGUCCAGCUGGGUAUCACACUGGAUCUCACCCAAAGCUGAGAUGUGAUCCAGCUCAGUAUCACAAAGCAGAACGAAAAGGAUGUGUUCGGGCUGAGAGGCAAUACAUUGGCUCCGGCAGGACGGGUGACUUCUUCCGAGUCUGGCUUCUGCAGCACACAGGGCUUCGCCAGCACCCAGCUCCUGCAGCAUGGACAGCCCGUGUGACAGCAGGCGCCCACAGCCUGCAAAGCUUCUCCAGUGCCGCCUCCUCAGUGAACCGCAAGCAGCGGCACCUAGCAGCUUUCUCCACCACGCUCUUCAGGUAGUUCUGUAGCAGUGCGUUUCUCAUGAGACACUUCCCUGUGAGCAGUUUUUUCUACCCUUGAGGAUGGAUUUCCAGCAAGUUCUGCCCAUGUGGUACCACAGCCACUUCUCUGCCAUUCAGUGAAACUGCAGAUGUGCCCUCUUCACGGUCUGGAUCUAAGCCCAGGGACCAGGAAACCUCUUGCUUGAGUGCUGGAACUCAGGUCAGAAGGUAUGGCUGCUACUAUCUGCUGUGACCAAAGAGAAUCAGAGUUCUCUUUACUUCUUACCAGCCAACCUCUUGAAAAUGCCUUUUUUUUUUUUUUUUUUUUUUUUGAGACGGAGUCUCGCUCUGUUGCCCAGGCUGGAGUGCAGUGGCUCACUGCAACCUCCGCCUCCUGGGUUCAAGUGAUUCUCCUGCCUCAGCCUCCCGAGUAGGUGGGAUUACAGGCAUGUGCCACCACGCCCAGCUAAUUUUGUAUUUUUAGUAGUGACGGGGUUUCUCCAUGUGGUCAGGUUGGUCUCAAACUCUCGACCUCAGGUGAUCCACCUGCCUCAGCCUCCCAAAGUGCUGGGAUUACAGACGUUAGCCACAGCGCCGGGUCUAAGCCCUUUAUAGCUUAAUUCUAUAUAUUAAAUUUUCCCAGUUCAAAUUACUGUGUGCUUCCCUUCUCCUGAUUGGACCUUGCUUGAUACAAAAUUAGUACAAGGAGUGGUCUCAAGAGAUAGAUGCACAAAGAAGGGAUAUGGGGACGGAUUUGGGUAUUUGGGCUUGAGUGCAGACUGAGCUCCUUGACAAUGAGAAAUAGGAUAU